CCCAGAACCUGUGAACAUGUGACCUUAUUUGGAAAUAGGGUCUUGCAGAUGUAAUCACAUUAUGAUGGGGUCACAAUGGAUGAGGGUGGGCCCUAAAUCCAACACCUGGUGUCCUUACAAGAAGAGGGAAGUUUGGACACGGAGAGACACAGACACACAGGCAGAAUGCCAUGCGAUGACAGAGGCAGAGAUCUGAGUGAUGUGUCUACAAACCAAGCAACGUCAAGGACUGCCAGCAGCCCCAGAAGCUGGAAGAGGCAGGAAGAAUCCUCCCUGAGGGCCUUCAGAGAGAGCGUGGCCCUGCUGGUGCCUUGAUUUUGGACUUCUGGCUUCUAGAAGUGUGCGAGAAUAAGGUUCUGUUGCUUGAAGCCACCUAGUCUGUGGUGCUUUGUUUUGACGGCCACAGGAAACCAGUAUUGGAGGUUGGUUGAGCACAGAACACAUAAACGCAUCCUAAUUUGGCCACCCCCGAGACAUGAAGUCAUUGGCAAGCUUGAAAUAUGGACACCUUAUCAUGAUUAAUCCUCUUCCACAUCUAUAAUUCAUAACGUUGAAGAGGAAGCGGAGGAAGAAAGAACUUUUGGAAAGGGUAAUGCUUUUAUGCAGCAAGCUUUGUUGAGUUUAUUUAAAGAUUAUGCAUAUUUUGUUUGCUUUUUAUGCCGUUAAAAUGUUCAGGGAGGGAAGAAAGUUGGAACAGCUUGAGAAAUAUCCGGCAGAAUUCCAUGGUACAAUGGAGAAACCAUCCAGAAAUCGAGAGCGGUCCUGCUAGGUGAGUGAAAAUUAUAGGGACAAGAGGGGCGGCCACGUACCUGCACUUUGGGACUUCUUUAAGGAGCCAUGAGGUGCAUGCGCCCACACACCCCCUCCACCCCAAACAAUGUGGGAUAUGGCUCACCUUGGGAAGGGUCAAGGGCAGUCUUUGUAGAUACAAAUUGUCCUGGUAGGAGAGGAGGCAAAAAGAAGUGGGAAGGGGUAAUUUCCUGCCUCUCCACUGAUGAGCUGCUGAGGGCUGAGCGAUGACCUCACAGGCCCCUGGGGGCUUUGUCUUCACCUCUGCAGAAUCAUCUGGGAGCAAGCUGGGAGGAGUCCUCAGGAGCUGCAGAAAGGACAGCUAAUGAAGAACACUGGGCUGGACACUGGGCAGAGUGGGUGACAAGCUCGUUAGUACCUAGGAGUUUGUUUUCAUUUUUCCCCUCGCAGCAAAACAAUUUGAAAGCGGAGACUAAAAAUUCAAUGUCUCAAUAUGGAGGAUUUGGGGGGGCGUAGUUGUACACGUUUGCAGUAGAUAAUGCCAGCUGCCCACCCAAUAUCCGUGUUUUCCCCUUUCUUUCUGUCUAACAGAGCUGUCAUAUGGUCUGGGGAUAUGACACCCAGCUAAAGAAAAAUCACUUCCCCAGGCUCCUUGCCCCCAAGGAAGCCCUGAGUGUAGCUUGGGCAUGGAGAGGAAGCUGCUUGGGACGGGCGGUCCUCCCUAAGUCAAAAGAACUCCCUUUUCCCGCCUUCUGCCUGGUUAUCCCUUUUUCUUUUUCCUGCUGGACGCUUGGUGGUCAUGAAAACUGAGUGCAUCAGGUGUCUUGUAAGAAGCAUGUUUUGUGGGAGAAACGUGCCAAAUGCAUUUAGAUCUCAUGGACUGAAAAAGUAAUAGUGGUUUCCAGUGAGUCAUGGUCUCAUGGGAAUUGCCUUAGAAUGCAGGCCUUGGUUUGUGAGCCAGCUGCCUCUCACAUGGUCAGCCUAUGCAGCGUUAGCUAAGGUGAUUGUCACCGUUUUAUUUAUUUAAUCAUAGUUAAUGCUUCUUCUAAGGAUUCCCAGGAAGCCUGGAUGAUAAUUUACAUAUCAUUAGACAGAAGCUUGUAGUGAUAUGUACAAAAGACAAGAGCCCGACUGUUGGCUAACCCAAUAUCCAUUUUCAAACCCGCUUCGCUCUUGCCCACUGCAGUUAGAGAGGCUGGAAAAACGAAUCAUCUUUCCCAGCCUCCUUUGUGGCCGAGUUGGCUGUGUGUCAUAGUUCUGGCCAAUGGGCCAUAAGCCGAAAUCUCAAGGGGAGGGUUCUAGGAAGGGACAGAUGUGGCUGCCUUGUUCUUCACUUCUUCCUGCCUUGAAUAAGAAUAUGAUGCUGAGUCUGGGGCAGCCAACCUGCCACCAUGAGUGUGAGGCCCUGAAAUGGACAGAAACCCUGUCAUUGACACUAUUGAGCGGCUGGACCAACACUUAAAGCCAAUUUCUGCAGACUCCUGAAUCAACUCUGUUUCCAUCCUUGUAAGUCUGAUUUUUCUCUUACUGGCAGCUCAAAGCAUUCCUGACUAAGACAAUGUGCAAAAUAAGAAAUACAAAUGGCCAAUAGGAUAUGAAAAAAAUUCAGCUUCAAUGAUAAACAAAGGAAUGGAAUUUGGCAAAGAUGUUGAAAUGAUGAUCACACUGCGUGCUGGUAGGAUGUUGUGAGAUAAGUAUUCUCAUUUCCUGCUGGUGACAUUAUAAACUGGUACGGGGUUUCUCCAAAGAUGUGGAUGAAGCUAUGAAGAGCCUUCAAAAUAUUACUACCCUUUGACCAAGUAAUUUCACUCUUGGGAAUUAUCCAAAGGAAAUAGCAACAAGGACACAGACUUACAUGCAUUGUGAUCCAAACUCCGUAAGAAAGAAAAAAAAAGGUAUCUUCAUAGAUAUGUAGACUGCAGGAAAUAAGACAAAAACGUUUGGAAUUGUUAUCUCUUGUUUUGAGUGAUAUUUUGUUUUUUCUUUUUCAAAUUUUUUAGAAAGAACAUGUUUAUUUGGAAAUUAGGAAAACACAACAAAAGUCACUUAAAAGACUAAUACCACCGAAUGCUCACAUCUCUGUCCUUAGAAUUUUUCUACUUUUGUGGAAAUAACAGCCAAGUAUCUUCAGAGUCUUUGGUUACAGGUCUUUCUUUUCAUUUACUUUUAAAUUUCUCACUGAGAGACAGAAUUUACCAGAGUCAUCCUGUGAAACGCUGGGGGUGACUGCACACAUUCAUAUGCUAUUCGAACUGGAUGAUGGUCCUGGGAGGUAAGGAAAGAUGCUAUUAUCCCCAUUUUACUGUUAGGAAAGAAAAAGAAAGGAACUGGGUGUCUUCCUGAGAGUCAUUCUACCUGUGGGAGGCAGAGCUGGGGCCUGACACAGAUUCACUGAUUCUAAGCCCUGAGCUCCUGUUUCGACACCAGGAUUUCUAUCACGCACGGGAGAAACACACACCCAAUUAGAGCCACAGCUAAAAUUCCCUGUAAUUGCAAAAGAGAGCAAGGAGAGAAGCUGGUUUUAUGUCCAGACCGGAAAAGGGGGAGGGAGGCAACUGCAAGCUGCACAAAUUAUACACAUUCCAAAUGCUUAUUUAUACAAACCCCUCCACUCCACCCUCCACCCACGUCUGUAAUGUAACCAACAUGCAAAAACGAAAAUCUGUUUUUGAGCCAGGUGCCAAAAUAAUCAUUGUUAAUACAGAAUAAACAACAAGUACGUUAUAUUGUUUAGGUCUGCAUCGGGGACUUAGAAGCGUUUGGGAAUUAAAAUUGCGUUUGAUACAUAGGAUGCACAAAAUCACGUUUAUACAAAUGAUGGACAGAAUUUAUUCAAGUGGCUGUGUUCACAUGAGUUUCCAUUCUUUCCACUGACACGUGGUGCCACGACCAAAAUUUAAUUCUGGAAAUUAACUUUUCCCUUAGAGAUGGGUGGAACUGAGUAUACUGUGGGCUACAAUAUUCUUAAAUAAUAUUGUGUAUAUGAAAGAGAUGGUUAAUUAUGAGCAACAGUGGAGUUCUUUAAAACCGAACUAUACAUGACAGAAAGCUGGCAAAUUCCUCUUGAAAGUAACCAGGCACAUAAAAUUGUCUUCUGUGUCAAGUUUUCAGUGCCCCAGCCCACUUCCUGUGCAGCACGGCCCUGCGCGGACAGGGCGUGGGUGAGGAAGGCACUUGGCUUCUGGCCAUUGCUCCUGCCCUAACUAGUUGGCAGCCCUCCCCUCGCUAAACACCCAUGCAAAGCAAACUCAGACCCAUUAGAAGUAAGAGGGUGAGGAUAUUCCAUUUCUUCGUGGACCACUGCUUGAUUUUCGUUAAACUCACUCAGAUUUAUUUUACACCCUGGACACCUGAGUUUGCGCUUAUUUUCAAGUUGUCAAGGAAUCUUUUCAGAAAUGAAAAAACACGGCUGUUCUAUUUACAUAGACCUUUUAGUUUUCUUCUCACUCUCUCCCUGUAAGUUCUUUUCGCCCUCGUUUUCAAUUUAUUACCUUUUAAGUAUCCUUAAGUAGCAGAUGUUUAAACACCUUUUAAUCGGAGAAACUGCAAGUGUAAUUGCUGGGUUUGGCAGGAAGCAGGUCCCGGAGCCCCUGGCCGGCUGAUAGCUGUGUUCUGCAGGCAGUGGCAUCUCACCGUAGAAGCAGCGAGACCGGAUCGCAGCCUCCAGACAUCUUCUGGCAAGUUCUGGAGAAGUUUUGCAAUUAACCAGUGGAAUUGGCAUGAAUUGAAAGGAUGCGUAAGGAAAACAUCAGUUCCUGCUGUCAUACCGGCUUCAAGCUCCAGCACCAGAAACAACGACAACAGCCUCAUGGAGACUAUUUAACCAGCUCCUACAGCUGUGUACAGCAAACAUGGAUCUACUUUGCCAAGUCUUUUCCCAUGAUGCUGAUGCCUCCGCGCAGACCUUCUUGGUGAGGGGCACAGACACACGUCUGGUGACACUCCCUGGGCCCCCACUUGGACACCCCAGAGACAUUCCAGUGCACCAUGAGCAAAACGGAAUUGCCCCUCAAGCCUCACCCGCCAUCCUUAUGUGGCCUCCUACUGCCCUAUACCAAUCAACAGCCCACGCCACCUCCUGGACAUCCUCCCCUCCUUUUUUUCAGCUCCAUCGCUGUCUCUUUGCCCCUCCACCAUGCUGACCAGGACUGUUGCAAGAGACCCUCAACUGCUCUCCUUGCCUCCAUCCUCACCUCCUCGAAUUCCUUCUCUACACUUAAGCCACUGAGCCUUUUAAAAUGCAAAUCUGACUAUGUCACUCUUGGGGCCAAAAGCCACCCAUUGUGUCCAUUGGCCCUUUGGAUGAAAUUCAAAGCCAUAGUCCUGACUUCCUGGCCUGCACAACCUUGACUCCCUCCUCUUGGACCCUAUGUGUCAGCCCAGCCACUCUGAACUUCUUUCUAUAACUUCUGUGCUCACUCCCUUUGCCUGGAAACCACCUCCCCCCACUCCCCACUCUUCUACACCACCCGGGGGGAGCCUUGUCUAUGUUGUCCGUGUCCCGUCGUCACCCCCCAUCACGCCCCCACCGCCCCAGCUCAGUGUGAAUGCCCUUUCGUGAUCCCAUUAGAUGAUGUUGGGGGCUUCUGCUCUGUAUCCCAACUCCUCAAGCCCUACCCCCCUAAUAUAAUAAAAUUCAUGUCCGCUCUGUGUCCUGCCCUCACUUUACUAUAUGGAGUCUCUCUGAUCUGACUUUAAGAGAGGUUGCUGAUGGCUCUUAAACAGGACUCAGGGCCUCCUCUCUUCGACCUCUAAGUAUUGACGUCUGUAGGACCACGUUCUGAGGCCUCUUUUCUUCCCCAUCCAUUCUUUCCCCAGGUAAUUACCUUUUGCAGGUAAUUGCUUUUGGCUUUACAUGUAAUUAGGGUGACAGACCAUCCCCGUUUGCUGGGGACCGAGGGGUUUCCUGGAAUGUGGCACUUUAAGGGCUGAAAACGGGAAAGUCCUGGGCAAACUGGGAUGACGGGGUCACCCUAGUUACCAUCCAAUGCUGGCAAUCCCAAAAAUUCAUAUCUGCAGCCCAGUCUCUCCCCUGAGUGCCAGACAUGGGAAUUGAAUACUUAAUUGGCAUUUCCAUUGUGAUGUGUCAUUGGCAUCUCAAAGCUGAGGUGGCCCAGACAAGGCUGUGGUCCCAGAAAACCUCAUCCCACUGUCACCCAACUCACUAGACUCCACCCGUCCUCAAACAUGCCCAACUGCUUCCCAUCUCAGGACCUUUGCACCUGUCAUUUCUUCUACAGGAAACACCCUUCCCCUCCUCUUCUCUGUUAGCCACUGCUCUUCCUUCUAGUUUCAGCCUAAUUGCCACUUCUUCAUAGAGUCCUUUCUGGACCUAAAGCAGCCCACUUCCCUAUUCCAUCAUAUCACCUGGCUUAUAUUUCUCAUGGCACUUACAACCGGAAAUGAUCUUAUUCAUGGCAUUGCUUACUUGUUUACUGUGGUUCUCUCUCCCUCUACCUGCCUGCCCUCUCUAGGAUGCAAACCCAUGAAGGGAGGGCUUUUGUCCUGUUCAUCUACAAGAGUGCCUGGCUCACAGCAGGCUCAAAAAUUUUGAUGCAUGGAAGAAUUAAUCAAUAUAUUGGAAUAAGAAUGUGUUUGAGAGGCGAAACUGAGCAAUUUUCCUAAAACAAGUUCUGUGUCGGAGUAUAUUAUUCACUGACAAAAUGUUCCCAUUUUUCCCCAUUUUAUUUAAUUAUGCAUCCUCUGUCUCGUGUCUUGACAGGGCAGUUGAUGGUGCAACAGAGCAUUUCCUCGCAGGGUAUUGAUGCAGAGAGCAAAUUGGGAGAAAAUUUGUUGUUAACCCUGGAAAAUAUUCAACAUUUUACUUCAUGACUUGGAGUAAAUGCUCAUGAAUUUUUUUUAAGACUUUACUUUUUAGAGCAGCUUUGGGUUCACAGCAAAAUCAAAGGAAGGUACAGAGAUUUCCCAUUUACCUCCUGCCUCUACACAUGCGUAGCCCGCCAAUUAUCCACAUCCCCACCAGACUGGUUCCUUUGUUACAAUCGAUGAACCUGCAUUGACUCAACAGAAUCACCCAAGUCCAUAGUUUACAUUGGGUUUCCCUCUGGGUGUUGUACAUUCUAUAAUUUGGACUAAUGGGUGAUAAUAUGUAUCCAUCACUAUGUUACCAAAUGGAAUGUUUUCACUGUAUCCUUUGCUCUGCCUAUUUAUCCCUCCCUCACUCCUUUAACCCCGGGAAGGCACUCAUCUUUUCACUGUGUCCAUAGUUUUGCCUUUCCCAAAAUGUCAUAUAUUUGGAAUCAUGCAGUAUGCAGCCUUUUCAGAGUGGCUUCUCUCAGUAAUAUGCAUUUAAGGUUCCUCCAUGUUUUUUCAUGGCUUGAUAGCUAUUUCUUUUUGGCAUUGAAAAAUAUGCCAUUGCCUGGAUGGACCCCAGUUUGUCCAUUCACCUACUGAAUUUUGCAUUCCCACCAGCAAGGCAUGAGAGUUCCUUUGCUCCACAUCCUCACCAGCAUGCGGCGCUGUCAGUGGUCCAGAUUUUGACUAUUCUAAUAGCCCCCCAGUACAUAGUUGUAUAUUCUAGUUGUGGGUCCUUCUGGUUGCGUUAUGUGAGAUGCAGCCUCAACAAGGCCUGAUGAGUGGUGCCAGGUCCGCAUGCAGGAGCUGAACUGGCGAAACCCUGGGCUGCCGGAGCAGAGUGUGCGAACCUAACCACUCGGCCACAGGGCAGGCCCCUCACCUGGCUUUUUUGAAAGAGCAACAAAUCUGGGGGAAGAAAAGCAGAGAUCCACAUAUUAAAAUGAUAUUAGUGAAGAAAGAGACAAUAGCUUCUUUGUGAUAAUUUAUAGUUAUCCAGAGGAGAAAUAGCUUCAUACUCUUUUAUUUUCAAAUCACACCCACUCUUCUGCUUAAAUCCAGCUCUUGUGGCCGUGGCUGUUAAGACUUAUUAUGAACAACACAGAGCAGCAAGAGAUGCUGUUUAAAUGCCCACAGAGAAAGGACGUGUGGUCUAAAAAGUUUGAGGACAUCGAUUCUAAAAAUUGAAAGAUACUCAUCCUGUUUGGCCAAGUUUAAAGAAGGGACCAGGAUAGGUUUUCUAUCAGAAACUACAAGCCGGAUUAUUUAAAAAUCCAUAUAAAGUUG
Molecule: long non-coding RNA, 7851 nt
Organism: Equus caballus (horse)
Lineage: Eukaryota; Metazoa; Chordata; Mammalia; Perissodactyla; Equidae
Source: Ensembl